CGAUGUUCUCCCGGUCGCUGAUGUGCUGCAGGUUGCAGCCCGUGUCCUCGCGGCUCAGGUCCGUGUCGGGCCGGUAGGACUCCAGCCGGGAGUGGGCAUUCCUCCGGAGCUUGGGGCUGGACGACACGCAGCACGAGAGGGUGUUGGUCCAAGAUGGCGGAGGAGUAGGAGACCUAAAUUUCCUCCAGUCCCAAGAAUUCAGCUAGAUGGUUAUCAAACCACUCUGAACACCUACGAACUCAAGAGGAGGUCAAAGAAAAGAAUAGCAGCAACUCUGUGAACAGAAAAGCAACUACUUUCUGGAAGAUCUUGGAGAGGCCUCAAAUGAAGCAAGUGCUUUGGAAGACCAUGCUAUCAACGCUCAGGACCACCCCACCUCCUCUCCUGGCAGCCAGACCAGUAACAGGGGUCAAACCCCAGCACAGCCCACCUGAGGAUGUCCUGGGCCUCCUGAGGGAGUAGAGGGACUAUACACCAAGGGAGCUGCAGAAUCCAACAAAUACAUGCCUGCAGGAGCUAAGAGAAUAUACAUCAAUGGCAUCCCCAGAGAGCUGGAUCAAGAGCAGCUGAACAUCAAAUUAGAAGGACAAGUAACCGUGAUAGACGCGGAAAUCCUGGUGGCACCUCCCUGAGUAUCCUCACCUGUGCUGUGCCCAGAGAAAGAUGUGUAAAGGAAAAUUGGAGACAUCUUCUUGGGAUUUUUGUUUUUUUCUAAUACCUACUAUUCACAUAUUAUAUCUUUUCCUUUCAAGCAGUAACAUUUUUUUUCUCCUAAAGAUAAAUUAAAUCUUAAGCCACCCCCCCAAAAAUUCAUAGCAUCUGAGACAAAAGAACACAGGUGUCAUGAAAACCACCACUUAGCCUGAACCAAAAUGGAAAAGGAAAAGUCCCACAUCAACAUUGUUGUCAUUGGAUGAUUCAGGAAGUCUACCACUACUGGUCAUCUGAUCUACAAAUGUGGUGGGAUUGACAAAAGAACCAUUGAAAAAUUUGAGAAGGAGUCUGCUGAGAUGGGAAAGGCUCCUUCAAGUAUGCCUGGAUCUUGGAUAACCUGAAAGCUGAGUGUGAAUGUGGUAUCACCAUUUGAUAUCUCCCUGCAGAAAUUUGAAACCAGCAAGUAUUAUGUGACCAUCAUUGAUACCACAGGACACAGAGACUUUAUAAAAAACAUGAUUACAGACACAUCUCAGGCUGACUGCACUGUCCUGAUCGUUGCCACUGGUGUUGGUGAAUUUGAAGCAGAUGUCUCCAAACAAUGGGCAGACCCAUGAGCAUGCCCUUCUGGCUUACACACUGGGUGUAAAACAACUAAUUAUCAGUGUUAACAAAAUGGAUUCCACUGAGCCACCCUAAAGCCAGAAGAGAUAUGAAGAAAUCAUUAAGGAAGUCAGCACCUACAUUAAGAAAAUUGGCUACAACCCCAACAGUAGCAUUUGUGCCAAUUUCUGUUUGGAAUGGUGACAACGUGCUGGAGCCAAGUGCUAACAUGCCUUGGUUCUAGGGAUGGAAAGUCACGAAUAAAGAUGGCAAUGCCAGUGGAACCACACUGCCUGAAGUUCUGGAUCGCAUUCUGCCACCAACUGAUCCCACUGACAAGUUCUUGUCUGCAUCUCCAGGACAUCUACAAAGUUGGUGGUGUUGGUACUUGUCCCUGUGGGCUGAGUGGAGACUGCUGUUCUUAAACCUGGCAUGGUGGCCAUCUUUGCUCCAGUCAAUGUUAAACUGAAAUAAAGUCUAUUGAAAUGCACCAUGAAGCUUUGAGUG
Molecule: long non-coding RNA, 1764 nt
Organism: Ailuropoda melanoleuca (giant panda)
Lineage: Eukaryota; Metazoa; Chordata; Mammalia; Carnivora; Ursidae
Exons: 5
Source: RefSeq, a predicted model, not a curated record